This 1448-nucleotide long non-coding RNA is filed under the name Cyanistes caeruleus (blue tit). RNAcentral's name for it is "lncRNA (ENSCCEG00000007273.1)". Lineage: Eukaryota; Metazoa; Chordata; Aves; Passeriformes; Paridae. The record is from RNAcentral.
CUGAUGAUGGCCUCUUCCCCAAUGCCCCCCUCCCCCAGUUAUUAGACUUUGUUCUGCAUGCUGACAGUUCAGCUCCUGGACCAGGAAUAUUCUUUCAUCCUAUUUUCAUACACAAAUGUCUCUCUUCAACUUCAUAGAGGUGAUGUGAUAGAACUCAGAGCAGAAAGGACAUGUGGAGAAGACAAUGCUAACAAACAAUUUGCAGUUCCUCAUUUCCAUGGCUGAACGAGUUGGUUUUAGCUGUAACGUGUUAACGAUGGCCUGAGAUUACAUGCAGGAACAUACCAUGGAGCAGCUUAAUGGUGAAAUGCUUCAAUUGCUGCCAACUCAGCAGAGCAAAGGCAGGGGACAAAGCUCUCCUGAUGAACCCUGGAAUCCUGAGUUUUUUGCUCUAGAAACAAUUUAUGCAAACUUCUCAGCAGUAACGGUGGUCACCAGCGCAGAGUGAUGGUUUUGAACAAUGUCUUCAUAUAAAGGAAAAACAAAUACAGCCUUCCAUCCCCCACCAUCUGUUGUGAGGGGUAUUCCCUUUUUUUUACUGUUUUGGGGAAGAAUUUGGCUUAAUGUUAUUAAGUAUAAUAAUUAAGACUUUUAACAUUUCUAGAAGCUUGACUUGCAUGCGGGAGUUAGAUUGUGACAGCCUGAUGUGCUGUACUAAAAUGAUACAUAAGUAGAGUAAUGUUUUCAUCAGUGUGUUGCUGUUCAAAGUUGAUUUUCUCUGUAGGGUGCCAUAAAGUAAUUAGAAGACCGUAACAUGAUCCUUCAGUAUUGCAUUAAUUCCUUAGAGGGAUGAAUUCAUCUUUUCUGACUGCAGUAGUGCAUGACUGGCCAUGGAAAUGCCACUGAACUAUAAAAUCAUCUGUAAAACAAAGAACAAUUUUUCCAGAGUAGCAUGUUUAUUUUACAAAACUCGUGAAAGGCUCAUGCUUUUAGUGAUUUUUGCUUGUAGCAAACUGGAAGCGAAACUACCUUAAAAUUAAAAAUCGACAUGGAAUGCUGUGUACUUCGCCUUAAAGAAAAUUGCGUGUGAAAUAUUUGUCUUCUGUGAGGACUGAAGACUAUUAGAAGGUCUGUGCCAACAGAAGAAGAAUCUCUUGUUACAGAUGAUGAGUUUUUGCAGCUGGUGUCAACUAAUCCAGCGACGGCUGCAUACUGUAAAUCUAAAAGAUGAGAAUUUUGAGCAGUUUUCUUUUUCCCAGCAGUGAGUAGAGAGCUGGGUUUGCCUAGUGAGACUGUGUUAGAAAUUAGCCUUGAUUGGGCUUUUCUUGGAUUUUUAUUUUUAUUUGUUAAAUGACCAAUGCUCUAAGCACAAGUUUGUAAUAGAGGCUUGUGUUGGCUGGGAGGGGAGGGAUGCUGACCAUGCACUGCACAGAUGGGGCAAGACUGGAAAUACUCAAUGAGUUUGAUCAGAAAAGAUUGUGUGCAGCCCCUCUAAGCUGACAUGUUCC